AAAAAAAGGAUUAAGUAAAUUAAUCAGUGUAAAACUACUUAGUUCCUGGCACACAGGAGCUAAGUGCCUAAUAAGUGUACCAAUCCUGUUGCUACUUUGCUCUUCUGCCUCUGGUGCACUGGAUCCAUAUCCUUUUGCUUUUUCAAAUACAUGCUCCUGUUCCUUUAAUUGUCCUCUUUCUUUUUUUAAUUUUUAAUUUAAUUUUUAUUUUAUAUUGGAUUAUAGUUGAUUUUAUGUUAUGUUAGUUUCAGGUGUACAGCAAAGUGAUUCAAAGUGAUUCAAUUAUACAUAUACAUAUAUAAUUGUCCUCUUUCUCCAGCAUCAAAACCUUUCUCUCUGAGUCAUACCCACUGGUAUAUAAAUUUUCUGUAAUGUCCCUCAUCUCUUAAAAAUAUCAAACAAUUUUCUUUGACCACACAUCCCCACAUCCCCCAUACAUACUAUUUCCACUUUCUCUUAUUCAUCCUCUUGAACCCAUUCCAAUCAGGUUUUAUCACCCUGCUCUACUGAAAUAGCUCAUCAGCAUCACCAAUGGCCACCCAAAAGUCAAUUCUGAGGGCUGUUUCACUCAGUUUAUCAACAGUAUAUGACACGCUUUGAAACACUUUCUUCACUUGGCUUUCAGGACACCGCACUCAUCUCUCCUGCUUCACUGGCCUUUUCCAUUCUCGUCUUCUUGACCUCCUAACAUUGGAGAACCCUAGAAGUCAAUCAUCAGAUCUCUCCUCUAUCAUAACUCAAUUUUUAGGUGCGCUCAUCCAGUCAGAUUGCUUUAUAGACUAUGUGUUGAAAAUUUCCAAAUGUAUAUCUCCAGCCAUAACUUCUUUAACUCCAGGUUCCUAUUAUCGAACUAUCUACUUGACAGUCUUAACAGGCAUCUCAGAAAUAACAUGUCUGAAGUGAAAUUUUGAUUCUCCCCUUCCCACUCCCAACUUCUGCCGCCAAUACUCUUUCCAGAUUCUUCCCCAUCUAAGCAAAUGGAAUUUCCAUUCUUCUAAUUGUUUAAGCCAAAAUACCUUUGAGGGUUGGUUGGUUUGUUUUUUGACCUUGAUCCAAUCCAUCAUCAAAUUCUGUUACUCUGUCCUUUGAAAUACUUCCAGAAUCCAACCACUUCUCAAUACAUCUAUUGCUGUCACUUUGAUCCAAAGCAUUUGUUGCCUAGAUUGUCAUAACAGCUUCCUAGCAGUUCUCCCUGCUUCUAUCAUUGCCCCUUAUACUUGAUUCUUCACAUACCAGCCAGAUUUAAAUGUAAGUCAUAUGUUACACCUCUGCUCAAAACCCUCUAGUGACUUCCUAUCUCUACAUUUCACAAUGCUUGUAAUGCCCUUUGUGGUCUGAUUCCAGCUUUGUGUCUGACCUAUCCCUCUCUUGCUUUCUGUGCUUUAGUCACACUAACUUCCUUGCUCUCCCUAAAGCAUACUGAUCAUGCUGCUGCCUCGUGGGUUUGCACUCACAUCACUCCUGGCAUGCUCUUCCUUCAGGGACCUACAUGUAUCAUUCUCUCACUUUAUCAGGGUUUUGCCCAAAUAUAACCUUAUAGGAGAGAUCUUUCUUGAUCACCCUGUAUAAAACUCGUAUCCCAUCUCUAACCCUCUUACCCUGCUCUUCCUUCCUAGCAUUUAUCACCACCUGACUGACAUUUGUUCUUCUCUCAUUCUUUACUAGAAUGCAAACUUCAUGAGGCUAGGUUUUUUGUCUGCUGUAUUCCCAGUGCCUCUAGAAGAAUGCCUGGCCCAUUGAUUAGAUAAAUCAGAAUAAAUCAGGGAAAUCAGAAUAAAUAUUGCUCCUUGGCAUUUGUUUAUUGCAUUCUGUGUUUUUCUUGAUUUCUAUACCACUCUCUUUCCUGGAUCUCCUUAAAUGUCCUUUAAAUUCCCUGAGAGAAUCUUAGUAGGUUCCCUUGCCAUUCAGAAUGAAGCAGCCCUAUUGGGCAAGCUCUCAAGCCAAGUCACCACAUAGGCUUCUGGCCACAAUUUAUCACUGAAUCCUCUGAUUGCUUCUUGCCCAGUAGAUUCCACUUUUGCCUGAAUGCCUCUGUCACUAGCUUCUCUGAAACCAGUGAGUGUGGGUCUGUUUUGUAGAAAUGGAUUUUAUUUAUUUCAUUUGGAACUUUUAGAAAUUUACAUAAAACUGCAGUGAAGAUGAAGGCAACAGUAAAUAUUUUCAUAUGUUUUCAAACUGAAGCACCCAGCCAUCUGCCAUUGUGGAUAUUGUGGAAAGAAUACCCAGUGCCUGCUGGCAUCUGGCACAUGAGGUUCUCCAUCCUGACGCCAUCAUUUCCUUGGCAGGAUCUGAAUUCGGACAUCCUCGGGAGUGUGCCCAAUGCUAUAUGUCAGUUGAGGUUCCAAGAUUUGGAAGCCACAGAAAUGCAGAGUGCCACUCUGGGGAUACACAAAGCACAGAGUUCCCCCUGCAGUGGUUUGGAGUCCCUGCCAUCCUGAAAGGCUGGUUUGAAUGAGUGCUCAUAGGGGAGUUUGCUUACUCGUAUGCUGCCGUGUAUGACAAGGGACCUUUCCGGGUAGGUUGAUGGUUCUGCUUUUUCUAACACCUGGAUUCUAGGUAGAUUCUGUCCUGAGGCAGAGUUUUGAGCACAAUUAGAUACCAAAAUCAGGCUCCAGGUCCCUUAGGGAGAGAUGCAUGUCUCUCCCAAAAUUUUUAAUAGAUAUUUUCAUAGAUAUUUUGACAUGAUGUUCAGGAUUUUCUUUAAAAUACUCCAGGAAAAAACAGGAGUGAGGGGAUACUGAGAGUUAAAGCUGGGUGGUGGAUGCAUCACUAUACUAUUUUCUCUUCUUUAUGUAUGUUUGAAAUUGUCCAUAAUAAAAAAGUCAGUCUGUCUUCAUUUUGCAGACACCCAAAACUAUACAAGAAACAUUUUUAGAGCUCCUGGAUUACAAGCCUAGAUACAUGCCUAGCAGUGUGCGGAGAUAGCUAAAAAACAACAAAUAACUCCACCUAGGCACCAGCAGUCAGCACUGCUUUUGUGUUACCAUGACAACCUUCACCUGAUUUGCCACAUCCAGGAGUAUGGAAUCCUGGGCCUGCCCCUCUGUGUACCAUCUUCCAGGCUGGUACUUCUGCAGAGUCAAUACUAUGAGGCUCAGAGGAGCCAAUGUAUGAAGUAACAUAAACAACAGAUGGGAGGGGGGACCUUUGUGUUCUUUCCCCUGGGGCUGUUUCAGUAACUUCCUGUCACCAAGGAGAUGUGGAAGGUAAUGACUUUUCUUUUACAGAAUAAGAAGGCAAUGCUUUCCAUCUCCACUGGUGGCAGUGGCUCCAUGUACUCUCUGCAGGGUAUCCACGGGGACAUGAAUAUCAUUCUCUGCCCAAUUCAGAAACAAAGGAGAUGCAUCACACUGGAGCCAGAGGCAGCAAACCCCAUCCCCAGAGCGCAAGGUGAGUCUCGGGCCUCAGAGGAGGAGACACAAGAAAUGGGGACAGGCUGGACUGCACCGCACACAUCCCAGACCAAGGCCACCUGCCCUCAUGCUGCUGAUAUAAGCACACUGCUGCUGCACGGCUCCCACAGCAAAGGUAAAUGACAUAAGGAGCAAGUUAGUAAGUAAGAAAACUGAGCAGGAUGUUGUUACAGUAAUAAUGAACUCUUACUGAAUUUUGUUAGGCAUUAUUCCACAAGUUUAAUGUCAAAAUAACCCUAUGAAGUUAAUAUAUCUCCAUUUUACGGAUGGGGAAACGAAGGCAAGGUAAGGUAGCUUGCUCAAGGUCACAGAGCUAGUAAGUGGCAGGUAUAAGCCCAGGGAAUCUGGCUCCAGAGUCAGUGCUCUUACCACCACCAUACUUUCUCAAGGGUCAUAUUAUUACAUUACUCAACUAUUUCUGAAUACCUUGUGCCCAAGUAUCAGCCUAGGCAUUAAGCCAGGAGGUGGCUCUGGAGGUGCUGAGAAUUUACUAACCAACAGGACACACUAUCAAAGCUGCUAUGAUUAAAUGGGUGUGGGUGCUGAGGCAGACCCACAGGCCUUGCCUCUCUCCCACCCGCUCAAGGCCCAACGAUGGACCCUGAACAGGCAAAGCUGCUGUUGUCAGGGACCAAGCAGGAGCCCUGGUGUCUGUCCUUGAGGAAUUCUCCCUCAGUUCCCAGUGGUAAGGACACAAGAGCUGCGUGAAACUGCCGGAGAAGCCAAGCCCUUUCCUGAAGUCUCUGCGAGUGAACUAAGCAACACGGGCUAGGAAAUAAUUAUUUUGUGCAAGAAACCACUCAGUCACUGGGGUUAAUCUAACAAGAAUGGAGAACAUUUCCAAGUGUUUCUAAGAACGAAUGUUAAUUUGAGGAACUUAGAGCUUUUGUAACAAAGGACAAUGGGGGAAAUGAGAUUUCCUGAAGCAAAAAGCUUUACCGACAUGAGCCUGGCACGUUUAAACACUAAAGAUUCAAAAAAUGCAGAGGCAGUUUUGAGGAGUGGCUCCCCAGCAGACCUGCAGAGGACGGUAACAGAGAUGGGCCCCGAGCCACGUCGGGGAGGGCUUCAUCCAGGCUACUCCACCGUCAGUGGAACAGCACUGGGGACACAGGGAGAGACACCUUACUGCUUUGGAAAGCAGUGCACACAGGCCUCCACAGUAAGGGGCUCCACCAGAUACCUGACAUGACGGCUACCAUGUCUAGACUGAAUCUGUGGAAAGGCUGGAAGCCACCAAGUUCCCAGGGCCACGCUUCACUCAACAGCAGGGCUGCAGUAUAGUCUCUUCCAUUCCAACCAGAUCUCGGAUCCGGGGGCCUCUCCACACAACACCAGCCCUCACCACGAGAAAAACCAAUUCAUGAGGCAGAAAAGAAAUGGGGAGGAGUGCAUGGUCAAUGAACUAAACAGUUCACGUCAACGGAGCACUUCCUAUGCGCCAGACAAGCACUCUUUUAUGUGACGAUCUCCCUAGUUCCUCACAACCACCUUUCUAAUUUUACAUAAGAAUCAUCUGAGGUACAGAGAAGCUGACCAACUUCUGCAAAGUCACACAGCUACUAGGAGACAGAAUCUGGAUUGGAACCCACAUAGUCUGGAUCCAGAGUCCACUUUUUUUUUAAACAGAAAAUUUCAAACAUGAAGUAAACCAAAGAGCACAAUGAACCCUCAUGGACCCAUCACCCAGCUUCAUCUCUACCCUCACCCAUUCCUCCCACUUCUGUUUUAUUUCAAAGCAAGUCCCAGACGUUACCCCUUCCAUAAACAUUUUGGCACUUACUGCUAAACGACUAGGGCUCUUUGCUCCAGAACCCACACCCUUAAUCCUAUACACAAAGGUAAGGACAAAAAACACCCGCCCUGGCUUUGUCAGGUGGGAGGUCACUGGCCACCUCUGUCCCAGGGCUUUCAGUGCCCUGGUGGGGGCAGAACCUGGCCUGAGUAGGAAUGACAAGGUGGAGGGAAUGCCUGUACACAAGGCAAGGUUCUCCUUCAAGAAGUCUCUAGAAGGUUUAGGAACAGAGGAGUGUUCAACAGAGGGGCACUGAGCCCAGGUUAUUGGCUACAUACUUGAAACAG
Delphinapterus leucas (beluga whale) is the source of this 5495-nucleotide non-coding RNA. The record is from RefSeq and is a predicted model, not a curated record. Lineage: Eukaryota; Metazoa; Chordata; Mammalia; Artiodactyla; Monodontidae.